RNAcentral lists this ribosomal RNA (301 nucleotides) under uncultured bacterium. Its description in RNAcentral is "partial 16S ribosomal RNA". It matches the Rfam family "Bacterial small subunit ribosomal RNA", at positions 509 to 807 of the family's 1533-position model. The record is from RNAcentral.
CAGCCGCCGCGGGAAUACGUAGGGUGCGAGCGUUAAUCGGAUUUACUGGGCGUAAAGCGUGCGCAGGCGGCCCGUUAAGGCAGGUGUGAAAUCCCUGGGCUCAACCUAGGAAUUGCGCUUGUGACUGGCGGGCUCGAGUACGGUAGAGGGGGGUGGAAUUCCUGGUGUAGCAGUGAAAUGCGUAGAGAUCAGGAGGAACACCGAUGGCGAAGGCAGCCCCCUGGGCCUGUACUGACGCUCAUGCACGAAAGCGUGGGGAGCAAACAGGAUUAGAGACCCCAGUAGUCCCUGUCUCUUAUAC